UAGUUUAACUAAUUUCUUAGGUCCUUUCGUACUAGAAGAAAUAUAAAGAAGAUAGAAACCGACCUGGUUUACACCGGUCUGAACUCAAAUCAUGUAAUUAUUUAAAAGUCGAACAGACUUUCUUAAUUUUCUAUUGCGUAAAUUAGGAUAUUAAAUCAACAUCGAGGUCGCAAUCUUUAUUUUAAAUAAGAUCUUAAAAAUUUUAUUACGCUGUUAUCCCUAAGGUAAUUUGUUCAUUUUAUUGAUUCUAUUAGGUCUAUUUUAUAAAUAUUUUUAUUAAAAUAAUAAUUGAUUUACUGCCCCAGUUAAACUUUAGUAAAAUUCAAUAGGGUCUUAUCGUCUUUCUUUUUUAUAAAAGUCUUUUUAUUUUUAAGAUAAUUUUAAUAAAUAAUUUAAAGAAAUAUUUUAAAUGUUAAAUCUUUUAUUCUAGUCUUUAAUUAAAAGACAAAUGAUUAUGCUACCUUAGCACAAUUUGCGGCUAUUAAAUUUUUCAUUGAGCAGAUUUUACCAUUAAUAAAUUCUAAUGGAAAUGUUUUUGUUAAACAGUCAUUAAAUUUAUUAGUUAUUUUAUUUUAUUUAAGUAAUUUACUAAUUUUAUCAUAAUUUUUUUUUAUAAAGGAUAUUUUAUUAAUAAAGUUAUUAAACAUUAGGUAAAAUUAGUUUUAAAACUUAUUGAAUACUUUAAUUUCUUAUAUGUAGUUAAAUUUAAAGAAACUUUUAUUAUAAAUUAUCUUAUAAAAAUUAUUUUUAAUAUUAUUAUUAUUAAAAUACCAGAUAUUUAUUUGAACGAAUAACGUUUAAUUUCUAUAAAAUAUUUUAAUUAGUUUUGUAAUAAAUUAAUUAUAAAUUAUAGAUCUCAAAAAUUCGGGAAUUAAAUAUAUUUUUAUAAUUUGAUAAAUCUUGAUACUAGAAGAACAUGAAAUUUCUUUUAAAAAAUUUAAUUUUCCUUUUCAGUUAUUAUAUAUAAAAUAUAAAUUAAAAUUUAAAAAAGAUUUUUCUAAAAUAAAUG
This 1009-nucleotide ribosomal RNA is filed under the name Oxyopes hupingensis. Its description in RNAcentral is "16S ribosomal RNA". The record is from RNAcentral. Lineage: Eukaryota; Metazoa; Arthropoda; Arachnida; Araneae; Oxyopidae.